GCAUCUGUAGCUCAACUGGAUAGAGCGUCUGACUUCGGAUCAGAAGGUUAUGGGUUCAAGUCCUAUCAGGUGCG
RNAcentral lists this transfer RNA (74 nucleotides) under Leptotrichiaceae bacterium. RNAcentral's name for it is "tRNA-Arg". It matches the Rfam family "tRNA". From Rfam's summary of the family: Transfer RNA (tRNA) molecules are approximately 80 nucleotides in length. Their secondary structure includes four short double-helical elements and three loops (D, anti-codon, and T loops). The record is from RNAcentral. Lineage: Bacteria; Fusobacteriati; Fusobacteriota; Fusobacteriia; Fusobacteriales; Leptotrichiaceae.